GGGAAUACCCUCAAAUUCUAAGCUGUCCACGUCAUUUAAUUAAAUCGACCAAUGGGAGAGAGUCUUUUUGCCACGUCGGAUGCAUCACUCAAAAUCAGUUGGGCUUUAUUUCGUUUGGCCCAUAUUAGGUUUAUCAGGUCACGUAGAUGAAACGCUGCGUAAUAGAUUUCGCGACUCCAGACCUGGUGGCGACUUUGUCUGCGCGCUGACCUUCCAUCUUCUUCCCCUGGCAAAUCCUGUAACCGAUUCAUCACCUUAAAGUCCUCAAUUAAUCGAGCAGGCACGAUCUAGAUUCAAUGCGACCUUUAAGGUUUCAGAGACGGUAGAGUUCGACUAUAAAUAGGCUGGACACUCCUCUUCCACCGUCAAGUUCGCUUACUCCGCUUUUGUGAGGCCUGAAACGUCCGACCUGGUGGAGAGCUCAUGGGCAUCGACAUGCUUUUAAUCGUCUCUUAGGUUAUGUAACUCUUAUUAUUUUAUGAUUUGUUUAUUGUUUAUAAAGAUUUGAAGUUCAUGUGUAUUCAUCGUCUCUGUUAAUUCUCUGUUGCCUUGAAUUUUGUCAUACUAUUUAAUCCUGUUUGAUGCUGUUUUUUUUUAUAUUCAGUCGACCAUGAUGCCGGUGACUGUGAAUGUCAACCGCCUUGCGACGCACCAGCCUAACCUUGAAGCGGGAUCGGUCUACUCUUUAGCUCCACGAACUCCAGUUACCUGCAGCGCGAAACAGAGAGGGUUUGUCCUCAAGAAGAUAGAAUCAUUGAUGGUGUCAUAACUGAGUUCUUAUGUGCUCAACUUCCACCGCAGGACUACUAUCAAGCUUUCAGAUUGAACCCACUUAAUCCAUUUUCAGGGCAUAAGAUAUGAUGUCAUUGGGAGACUUAAAUCCUACAAGCAUGUUUGGAGCAGUGGUUUCAGAUAUGGAUUAAGGGUAUUCAGGAAGGAGAAGAAAACUUGAGUUAUAUUUAGUUAUGUAGAGCAUCAUGUUUCACAGUGCCUUGAACAAGACAUGAACCAAGAUCGCUUGGUCUCAUGGAGCCAACAUAGCGAAACUGAUAAAGAGGAAAGAAGGCUGAUCAUCAGCAGGACACAAGGAUCGAUGACAAUAUGGCGACGCUGGUGACUUCCACCCUACAGGUAAAAGCGUUGUGAAGUGCUUUCCAGACAAACAAUUUAACUUUUGGUGCUGCUUUGAUGUUCCAGACGUCCUUAUACCAGUUGGUUUGAUGAUUCUGAGAAGUUAGGGACUCUUGAUCUUUGCAUUCCAGCGCAGAAAGAUACCCAGAUUUAGUGCUAUAAUCUCCUGAUGGAAUCUUAAGCCACACCCGUCUGUCCGGAGCCCCGACCAAGCUUGGUUUGAUGAGUCUGAUACUCUGUUACUCUGUUGGCAAUACUCUUCAAUCGAAGCAAACUCAACAUAGGCAAAUUCACAGAAACUGCCAUGGCGUCCUAUAGCCAUUGUAACAUUAACAACUUGGCCAGCUUAUUUGAAGAAGCUCCUCGCUGGAGGAAAACAAUAGUAAAAUCAAUGGAAAACUUUCAAAAAAAUAACCAAAGGUGUGUGUGUGUGUGUGUUUUUUUUUUAUAACCAAAGGUGUGUUAUAGUUGCAUAUCUAAUCUUUAACAAUUGGUAUACGAGAUUUCAACGUUUCAAAAGAAAGAGUUCCAACGUACUAAGUGUGGUUCCAAU
Raphanus sativus (radish) is the source of this 1684-nucleotide long non-coding RNA. RefSeq lists it as uncharacterized. The record is from RefSeq and is a predicted model, not a curated record. Lineage: Eukaryota; Viridiplantae; Streptophyta; Magnoliopsida; Brassicales; Brassicaceae. The transcript has 5 exons.